Molecule: non-coding RNA, 7243 nt
Organism: Equus caballus (horse)
Lineage: Eukaryota; Metazoa; Chordata; Mammalia; Perissodactyla; Equidae
Source: RefSeq, a predicted model, not a curated record
CUUCACUGUAAUCACUUUUCCUCUUAUUUUAUCAGUUACAUCUAUCUUUUAUUGCACCAUAUUUAUCACUCAUUGAUUUAGGCUUUAAAACAGCCUUAACUUUUAUUACCACGUGAUAUUAAAAGACAAACAUAUUAAAUAUUACCAGCAAACUUUUAAUAAGGAAAAAUGGAAACCCUCUGGUACCACAGAGCAGAGCCGUCUCGGAGCGUGCGCGCAAUGCCCGUUCCGAAUGGGCGGAGAUGCUGCACAGAAGCGGAAGUGGUCACAGCACAGGCUGUGGACGUAAGAAUCGGGAUGUAGAUUCUGGUUCUGGUGCUUGUAAGUUCUAAAGACUUGCUCAAGUCCUUUAAACUCUCUGAACUGCCGUUUUCUCAUUUGUCAGAUUGGGGAAAUAAGAUGCGCGAAUCAAGGUACCCUCAAGUUGCUCUCUUAGAAAUCCACGGAUAACAGCUAUUGACAAACCUCUCAUGCUCCAUGUGCCGUAUCAGCCCAAGGCAAACGAUGAUAAGUCCCACUCCAGGUGCAAUUUCUAUUGCCUAAAGACUAAAGUAUAAAAUUGACAUCCAACAACUUGUGCAUGAAGUAAAAAUGGGAAGGAGAGAAAAGAAGAAAAUAGUAAGUACAUGCAAAGAAACACACAUGUAAAGAAGAGAAAGCAUGGAGAGCUGCUGCUGUCCUUGUUUCCGUGAUUGGUCCUGAGGUUGUCGUUGCGAUCUCUGGUUUCUUUCUUCAAUACCCAUUCUGCAUCUCCCUCGCCCUUAGCCAGAACCUCAGCUGCUCUGGGUUCUUCACCCGGUGGAGUCAUGCAAACCUGCAUUCCAUAAGGGACUGAGUCCUUGUUAUCCUGCCUGUUUUUAGGUUACUGUAGUCUUCCAUUAUCCUUUACUAUUGGGCACAGAAGUACCAAAGGGACCCUAAAGAUUUCCAAGGGUUCCAGAUUGCCCCCAUUCUGUAGCAGCAACCCAAGUUGUCCUUGGUAAUCAGGUGUAAUCAUUUAAGCCAGAAAAUUGACCCAUUUUUGUUUGCCUACUGGUUUAGCACAUAAAGAGCCCCAAAUGGCCAUGUGUCAGUUUCACCCUCCAGUUCAGUGGCAGAACUGCCAUGUUCCCUGGUGGAAGCAUUUCCCUCUUGAAGACUAAGAGCUCUAAACCAGCACAGCUCAAGGUUUCUUCUUCACUAGCUGCUCACAACUGGCAGCUGUGUGGAUGACUCUUCAGAUGAGUUGAAGCACCAAAUUCAAAUGCGCUCUACAGUACCUCCAAAAUUCAGGAAGGCUUCUGUGCGUCACAGGUGGUGCAAGGUACAGCAACCUGUUCCUCACUUUGCAGAGGACAUCUUGGCGUGGUCCAGACUACCAAACUCCUGGAAACUUCACCGAGGGGGGAGGGCCCUGAAUUUUUAUGGGGUUCUGCCCUCUCACUUGCGUCUGUUUUAUUAAGGCAUUUAACGUAUUUACUACUUUCUGCUCAUCGAAUCCAAUCCAGGGAAUGUAGUGAACCAGGUGAUGUUUUGUGCAAUAUCUAGAGAUAUUUAUGUGGUUUUCAGUCACUUGCGUGUACAGUUGGCUUAUUGUCAAUCAUUCGUAUAAAUUUAUGUAUAUAUAUAUAUACCCACAUAAAAGACACACCAUACCUGUUCACUGAGCAUUGUAACAGGAAAGCGCAUGGCUAGAUAUCACACAAAAUGUGAACUUUGGCAACCACUACUGGAAGCGAGUGAGUGAGUGGUGAGGAGUGAAGAAGAAACAAGGUAUAAAAUAAGCAAAGGCAGAAGCUAAUGGCGGAAAUUUCUCACAGUCGUCAAAUGUAUAUCUGUAAGUAGAGGCUUCAGGUCUCAUAAAAACUAACACAAAAUGGAAGUUCUCUUUAUUAUUUGAUAAUGAAGCGUAUACUAUUAUAAAGCCUCACACCAUUUUUUUCUUUUUUGAUGGGAAUAAAAUGAAAUAGGAUCAAUAAGAAUCCCUUUGUAGAGCAUGAACCUGUGGCAGUACUGCCUACAGCAAAAACAUUUGUCUGUGAAAUCACAUUUUAUGCACCUCACUGAACAAUAAUAAAAAAAUUUUUAUCAACUAUGUACAAAAAAAAGACUGACUAUUUUCUCGAUUAGAAUUGUGACAAAAUACUUGUCAUUUGAAGAGGAAAUCCAAGAGCAUGCACCUCCAAGCCCCCACAAGUGGUUGGGUACCAUUUAUUUAUGGAUUUGCAUAUGUGUUAUUUCUUCCAGUAGGUGGCAGUAAAGGGUCUCAUUCUAAAUCGAUUAGUCUAUUAUAACAAUUUCUGACAGAUGAAAAUAAAAUGUCUUGAGGACAAGGAUUCUUUUUCCUGAUUUAGACAAAGGUGCUAUAUGGUCCAAUGGCCAUGCUGACCCGUUUCAGUUAUAUGAGAAUUCUAACCUAAAACUCAAAUGCAAAUGUAAUUCCCCGAGCCUGGUAACCUACAAAUCCACUGAAUUAUCUUACCCUGGGAUAAUCUGGAGGAGGAAAGGGGACACAUAUUGACAGCAGCAUAUUGUUUCUUUGGGGAGGAUCUUCUUCUACCCUUAGUGAGGCAUAUUUUUCUGGAUCAAGUUACUACAUCUUUUGCAAAAGAGCUAAUCUGUUAAACUCAUGGUUGGUAACUCCCAACCAAAACAUUCACUGGAUAAGGUUGAAAAUAUUCAAGACAAUGUGAUCUAAACAUGAUAUCAGUUUGGACCUGCUACUGGUUUUAUGGAAAGUUCUAGUCUUCCUUUUCAAAUAUAUAUGUGUAGGACUAUAUGUACCCUUAGAGGAAUAUAGUUAUUCUAAAUGUGCUUUAGAAACCCAGAAUUUUCAUAUGUUAAGAAUGGAUGGAUGGUUCUAUAAAAAUUAGUGUUUCUACAGUAUCACGGUAGGCAGGGAAGUUAAGUACUCAGAGAACAUGAGUUAAAAACCAAAGCUGAUGAACAGCAGGACUGGCUUGCAGGUGGGACUGAAGAGGCAGCGUGCAGCUGAGAGCUUUGAGAAUAGCAUCAAGUGGAAACAGGAACAAAUGAUUUUUAAUAGUGGAAAGGCUUACACAUCACCCUUAACUAAAAGAUCACGAGUGGAUGUGCCUGAUCAGUUAUUCUUUUAACUGAAGAUUAAUGCAAGUUGUUCCAUUAUUUUAGCUGCUUAAGAUGCCCACGUAUUUGAUAUAGCUUUAGCUGGCCUGCGGUACUUGACAGAUCAGAAUAAAAAGUCUUGUUUCAAACCAAAAAGCAUUAUAAUCCACAUUAAAGAUAUUUGACAGGGGAGCUCCUCCUUGUUAAGUCAUUUUCCUUGUGUCUUAAAAUCUAAGAAUGGUACAAAUUAGACUGUUUGUACUUAAUUUUCAUCUUUGACUGGAAAACUUUAAAAGUUUAAAGAAUCUAUUUGCCAUUGAUUCCACCUGUCAGUCAAUAAGAUAGACUUUCUUUGGGGAAUUCUCUCUUCUCCCCAUGCUCUUUUGUGAUUCUACACCACACAAGAUUCUUAAACAUCAAAAAAUAUAUAUUUUUCUGGAAUAAUCCACCACUCCCAUUAUUAUAGUCUCAUUACGCAAAGUGUGAAUUUUUGUUGUUGUCUUUUUAGGAUGUGCCUGGUGUCUAUGUGGGGGGGGGGGUGCUUUGGGGUUUUUGCAGAGGCUUAUUUUAUUUGUUCCCUUUGGGUUUUUGAUUUGAAGCAAGUGCUUUAGCCACAUAUGAGGUUUUACUAAAUCAGGCUGACUUCCUUGUGAAUAAGUAUCUUCUCCCUCCAGAGACUAGUACCUAUUAAAAUGUGGCCCCACCUCUCCCAACAAAUAAAAAGUCAUCCAAAGUAAAAGCACCUUAGAAAUGCUUAGUUCCUCACUGUUAGCAAUCAAAGGGGCAGAGUAGUUAGAAAUGUGAAUGCAAGUGGCAUCCCUGUGUGCCAGUGGGCAGGAAAGGGUCCAAGGAUAAAACAAGAAAAUGAGGAUAUUUAGAAAAGCUUUGAGACAGAAGGAGAAUGAUUUAAUGAGAGGCUACUUGUUAAAGGCAGCUCCGGGAGGGCUGAAAUCAAGAGGUUGCUCAGCAUGCCAUAGGUCCAGAAAGGGUUCUUUUAGAGACAUUUGUGUGGAUAGGAGAGCAAUCUAUUACUGCUUGGUUUGAAACAACUGAACCAUAUGACAUUUAGGGUUCCCUUUUUUUCAUUGAGGAGCUUCUUGGAAUACAAUAUGGCCUCACUUAAAGGAAGGAGACAUACAGAGAGAGAAGUAGAGAAAAGAGAAGGAGAGAACAGGAGAUGAAAGCAGAGAGAUCUGUAGCUUGAUGUGAAAGUGGAACAAAUUAUGGAGAGUGAUGGGUCUAUAAAUUCCUGAUUAAUGUGCUAAGUUGGGUUGAAAACAAGGCUACUACUUAUAAAUUAUCUUCUUAUAUUACCCCAAAAUUGGCAACCAAGGCUCCCAAAUGAAGGACAUACAUGCUCUAAGAUAAACACCAACAACUGGGGACAAGACGCCACCUCAAGGAUGUACUAAAAGAUUCAGAACCAGCCCUACCACAGUCACCUUGUCCCCCACUGUCACCCUGAUCUCUUACAUUCAUCAAUGGAUGCUUGAGGAAAGAGGAAGGAGAGACCCGUCUGCAUCGUGUGUUUUCAGUCUAGUAGAGUUUCGAGGGAGAUGGGUGCUUCUCUUCCCGCCUCACCCAAAGCACAAGAGAAAUACACCGUGAAUGACUGGCGAAGCCUGGGGUGCCUUCAAGAAGAGGAGAUGAGCAUUGUCUUUGCUGGGCCCCUUGAGAGAGGCAGUACCCGGAUGCUUAUCGCCAGCAGCCCCUUGUCCAUAAAGCUGAGGAAGCUGAAUCUUCCCAAGUCUGAGAAGCGGCUGAACGAUAUGCUCUGCAAAGUUAUUUCAGCUUGAGGCUCCAUUCAACCUGGAACCCCACUGGCUUGUCCUAUAAAAGCCUUGAAGGCCAGUCAGUGUUGGAGGAGAAGUGGUAACCAACAGAGAAGAUCACUGCCAUGAGUCGCUAAGUUCCCAGUCCCAGCAUCCAACAUCAGAAGAGUUUGCUUUUGAUAAGGAGGAUGUAUCCUCAAACCAGCUCAUGGCCCCACCUACUUCUGCUCCAAGGAGCAGGAGUGGCAAGAGGCUAGAAAGAGCAGACCACACUCCCUCCCUCUUUAGAUCUGCUGUAUCUGCAGCCUGGCCCUUGAUGGAGUUUAAAAAAAAAUUAUAUGACUUUGAAUCAAAUAUGAAAGUAUAAUCUUAACUCAAUUGGGCUGGACUUUUAAUAACAGAAAGAUACCAAAAAGUUGUGGAAUCUGCCCAAGAUGUUGUUAAGGGACCCAUUACCUACUCGGAAAAGAAGAUUCCACGGAACACAUUUGGAGACAGUGAGUGGACAAAAAAUAAGACUGUAUAAUGUCUUGCUCCCAUCUAGUUACGUCUAUGCAAGCAGGGAAGAGAAAACAAUAACACACCAACUUGGACUAGAAGUAGAGAUAAGCACGGCACUGGAUGCCUGAUCACUGUCUAAGCAGGAGGGAGCAAGAGGACUGUGGUCAAAAAUUACCUACUUGUUAUUUACCUUAAAUUUAUGUUAAAAAAUAAGUUGAUCCCUAAGUGAGUAACUAAUCUAGAACUGGGGUCACCCAUAACAAAGAUGAGUUGCAGGAGAGGGGGUUUUCAAACAUAAGGACAAGUAAUAUUUUAACUCUUGGGAUGUUAUCAGAAAGUAAUCAGCACCAGCCUAUGGGUUUGGGGGGACUCGGGGGGAACAGGUUGUAGGGAAAGGAAAGCAUCACCAUUUUGUUUGGGAUUUCCCAUAUUCCUCAUAGAUCUUACCAUAGCAGAGAACAUUUAAUUAAAGGAACAGUUAGCUGCCUGGGACUUGGCAGGUGCCUAGCAAUGCAAGGUGGCACCACAAGAGCUUCACCCAGCUUCCUCCACCCUCUUCCUUCCUAAUCAUCUUCAUCCUGUUUUACUGAGCUGGAGUCAGAAGAAGCGGCAUCUUGUAAGCAGAUAGGUGGCAAACCUACCUCUGUACAUUCAUUUCACUUGAGAGCUCCUGAUAUUUUCUUAGGUACUGUACUUUGAUCUCCCACCACUCCAUCCUCCACCUCCUGCCAAAGUGAUGCCAAAAUGCACGUCAGGUCAGAUCACUCAUCGGCUUAAAAUUAUCCAGUGGCUCCCCUUCCCUGGAGGAGGAAAUGGAAAGUUUUUAACUUGGCAUAUUAAGUCCUUCUUGAUCAGAUCCCAGCCUUGUCUAAAGUCUCAUCCACUACAUUCCACCUCAGAUGUCAUUGCUAUAACGGCACUGAGCCAACCGCUGCGCCCUUGCUCUGUUUUGCACCUUUUGAAUAGUCCCAUACUCUUCCCGAAAUUCUCUUUCUCCUUUGCUGGUUCCCAUCCUCACCCCCAUGACUCAAUUGAAGAGAGUCAUCACCUCUGGAUGGUCUUCCAGGACUCCUGCUUCCCCGUAUCAAGGAGCACUUUUUUGUACAAAGCACCUUGUUCUGUUGGUUGGUCUAGCAUUUAUCUAAUUGAAUUGUAAGCAUUUUUUUUUCUACUUUUCUAUCUCUACUAAUGGACAUUGAAGACUUUGAGAUCUGGGACAGAACCUGGUACCUGGUAAUUGCUCAAGAACUAUUUCUUUAUUUAUUGAAUGAGUGAGGAGGAGCUUGUGUGGGAAAUGGGAUAGCAAGGGAACAAGUUGGCAGCCUUUUCAAGUGACAGUUAGGUCCUGACUCACACACAGCGAUGGCACAGCGGUACUAGAAAGGUUGGAGAGAUAUUUCUGAAGGAAAUGUAAGGUCCAUGAAGGAAAUGAUGUGGGGUUUAAGAAGAGAAGGGAGUUGAGGAUGAUGACCUUUCUAGAUAAGAAGAUGACAAGACAUGUUAUCAUUAAAUCACUGGGUUUGGGAGUCUGACUAAUGAAUUUACAAUUGGAAAUGUUGACAAGUUUCUUUCAUGUCAACUCAUCUUCGUUUAUUGGUUUUCUCCAGGUCUCUUCAGUCCUUGGUUCUACGUCACACCUCAUCACUACCCUUUACUUACUAAACACACCCUCAGUGUCUCAUGCUCAAAACCUAAGCAUAGAGGGGCCAAGUGGAGACUGCAUGACUUGUAAACACCAGCUGGCUCUGCUAAGAGGUGCUGAGGUUCCACGUUAUUCGACCAACUCAACAAUCACUUUUGACUGUUGCUGAAUAUUCUGCCAGCAUGUGGCUCUCAGAAGCUUCAGAAUAAAGCCAACCACCAAAGCAAAUGGCUACUGCUUAUAAAACUGACCUAUUUCUCUGUAG